Non-coding RNA from Chrysemys picta bellii (western painted turtle), 978 nucleotides. The record is from RefSeq and is a predicted model, not a curated record. NCBI's taxonomy places the organism in Eukaryota, Metazoa, Chordata, Testudines, Emydidae.
CACAGGCAGCAAAUGAGCAGCUUUGGUUUUAUGGUGCCCAGAAGUAAGAAAUCCUUUGGAAGAAGAAGGCAUUUGGCUCCCCGCGGGAGGAAUCAGUUACCAACAGAAUUAACAGCUAAGCCAGACAAAACAUUUUUUGGCCCCUCUCCCAGGGUGGUUCCCCUGAGAAUCUUUUUCAACCUUCGCAAGUGACCACCACAACUCCAGGUGUUCUUAACGACCACCGUACUUUAUUCGAUCCCUUCAGCAGGCCGCAGCCUGGGGCGCUAUUACAGUACUCUUUACACAGUCAGUAGCUAGCUUCUCCCCACUUCCUUCUGGCCAAGGGUACAGCAUUAUUAUUAUUAGCAGCAGCCAGUCCUACCUACUCCUACCUCCCUUCAGGCUCCCUACUCUAAUUUCUAGCACUGCCUUCCUCUCUGCUUAUAUAAUCCCAGCUGCUGGGGUGGGGAGUGACUUCCACCCAAUUAACCCCUCAGCUGUAUCUCUGCUCAGUCGGUUGGUGCUCCUCCAACAGGUGAGAUUGCACCGGCCAUGAGUCUCCCCCUUCCUUUUUGCAGGUGCUUCACAAAUAAAAGGCUACUCCUCACCUGUGUAAAACUCCACAUGAAAAACAAAUGCAGCAGUAGCAAGUUGAGAAGCAACCCAUUCCUAACACUCCUGCAGACCUGGACCAGUUCUCACACAGCAGACGAUGCAUCAGUCACGCCACCUUAGGUUUCUAGAUUCGAUUCGGGCACUUGUCCCAAAUACUAAUUGUACCAGCUGUGGUGGAUUUUUGAAGGAAGGAACGUUUCGUUACAAAACUGUUUCAUUGCUGAAGGUCUCGCGCUGCUUGGCUUUUGGCAGUUCCCACUUCUCCCCUGCACUUUCUGGCCCCAAGAGGUUGCUUAGGGGCCAGACAUGGCGGAUGCUUCUGGGAGCAGCAAGGAGCCAGGACAGGCUGGGAGCCUGCCUUAGCCCUGCUGCACUGCUGAC